RNAcentral lists this non-coding RNA (66 nucleotides) under uncultured Bolidomonas. Lineage: Eukaryota; Bolidophyceae. The record is from RNAcentral.
AGAAAAGUAAAAAAAAGUAAAAAGAGAAAAAGUAAAAAAAUUAAAGAGGUUUGAUUUCCUAUAUUU